Ailuropoda melanoleuca (giant panda) is the source of this 1110-nucleotide long non-coding RNA. RefSeq lists it as uncharacterized. Lineage: Eukaryota; Metazoa; Chordata; Mammalia; Carnivora; Ursidae. The record is from RefSeq and is a predicted model, not a curated record. The transcript is spliced from 4 exons.
GGGCCUGGGGGUGGAGAAGGAUGGCAGAUUUUAGCCCUUCUGGACCUCCGAGAGGAUUGCGUGGUUGAUGGUCUUUGCCAAACCCCCUUCCCUGGAGAGAAGUGCUGUUGGUGUUGAGAAGGAAGGAGCCAUGUGGCCUGGAAGAGGUGAGGACAGCUCCCCAGGGACCAGCCGCCCGGUUUCCUUCUGCUUGAGGAACUCGGCCACUGGAGUUGUGGCUCUUCCCAUCAGUGGCCGCUCCUGUUCCUCGAACUCCUUCAGAGCCGGUGCAGCUCUUGUCUGGGACACUCUGGAGGAAGGGGCAGGGUGAGAGCAAGGAGCAAGAGGGACAUUUCUUCGAAAGGAAAAGAAAAUGGAGACGCUGGGUCUGGGUGGGGAAGAUGCACAAAGCAAAAAUAAAGACAAUGCGAAGGGCCCUAACCAACGGAAACCGGACAAAACAAUCCCAACACAGCACAACAAAGUGAAAGAAAACGUCAUUCGCUGAUGAAGAAUGAUAAUUUCCUGCCCUCCCUCACAGACAUCUCCCUCACUUAAAGCAGAGGCAGAACUCUUUCGAAUCCUAGGGUCUGAGGGUAUGUGGGCGGGGGAAGGAAAUAAAAGAGGAUCCUCUCUCUGAGUUGAGUUUUAGGGGGACCCUGGAGGAGGACUUGUUCAGAGGCAGGGAGAGGCGGGCAUGUGGAGAGCACGGACUGUGCUUGGUGAUGGGGCUUUGGGGGGCAGGGAGCAAUUUCAUUUUGGAGCCCAGCGUGAUUUUCACUUGCUGGGUCAUCCAUUAUCCUGUCUCCUGUCACUCUACCCACCCCAUCCCAGACAGAUGGCUUUGUUGCCCGUUUGAAAAAACAAUCAAUAUUUCCAGAAGCAAGAAUGCCAGAGGUCCUUGUCCUUGACCUUGGUUUGUCUGGGCUGGUGGAUCUUGAGGCCCCCAGAAGAGCAAUGGCUCUUUGGGGCUCUAGGGAAGCCCACAGAUCUUUACUGACGGGGUCCGUAUCACCGCAAGCCACCCCCAGCCCCUGGCUGCUCUUCAAGCAGGGGCUCCUGACCCUCUGCCGGGGGGUCUGUCAUGACAGCGCAGUCACCUAGAGCCUCUCUCACGGGCGUGCUUCCUCC